Non-coding RNA from Labeo rohita (rohu), 688 nucleotides. NCBI's taxonomy places the organism in Eukaryota, Metazoa, Chordata, Actinopteri, Cypriniformes, Cyprinidae. The record is from the annotation of a RefSeq genome assembly.
UAACACUGUAUAUUUUCCACAUACCUGUACAGCUGAUUGUCCAAAAGAAACAAUUAAUUUUUUUGUGAAAUCAUCAUAUACGAUUAAACAACAGUCAUACUGUCAUUUUAAUAAUCUUCACUUUAAUUAGAGAGUAAACUAAAGUUUAUUCACAUAUUGUCAGUUUUUGCUGGGUAAGAUGAAAAAGGAGGUAUGUGUGGGAGGAGCUCAAAGUUUUGUCAGCUACAGCAGAAGAAAUCAUGGGGACAACACUGACACACCUUCAUUAAGAAGUCUGAACUCAAACUACAGAAACAUGUUACUCAUCUCUUCUGUUAUAGUUUUCAUCCUCAAUUACUGUGAAUCUGGGGAUGUCAUCAGACCAGACCAACCAUCUGUAGUUUUAACUGAAGAAAGCAACACCACUCUGUCCUGUACAUAUGAUGGAUCAGCUUACAGUCUCCACUGGUAUCGGCAGAAGCCUGGAUCAAAACCAGAGUUUCUGCUGCUGAUUGCUGUGUCUUCCAAACAUGUCACCAAAGCUGACCAACCUCAUCCACAUAUGUCUAUCAGACUCCAUGAUAAACGUGUGAAUCUGGAGAUCUCUGCUGCUGUAUCAGACUCUGCCAUGUAUUACUGUGCCCUGGAGCCCACAGUGACAGGAAAACCAUCUACACAGUACAAAAACUUUGUAGAGUCAUAUAUCUAA